This 1888-nucleotide ribosomal RNA is filed under the name human gut metagenome. RNAcentral's name for it is "bacterial LSU rRNA". It matches the Rfam family "Bacterial large subunit ribosomal RNA", at positions 1 to 1989 of the family's 2925-position model. The record is from RNAcentral.
UAAAGCGUAAAAGAGCGUAGAGUGAAUGCCUUGGCAUUGGGAGCCGAAGAAGGACGUGGUUAACUGCGAAAAGCUACGGGGAGUCGUAAGCAGACAUUGAUCCGUAGAUGUCCGAAUGGAGCAAUCCGCAUGGAGUUAGUCUAUGCAUCCAUAAGUGAAUUCAUAGCUUAUGGAGGGGAACCGCCUGAACUGAAACAUCUAAGUAGGGCGAGGAAGAGAAAUCAAACGAGAUUUCGUAAGUAGUGGCGAGCGAACGCGAAAGAGGCUAAACCAAGAGAAGAAAUUCUUUUGGGGUUACGGACUGCGAUAUGUAUCUGAGGACUUAGCAGAAUGGUAUGGGAAAGCCAACCAGAGAAUGUGAUAGUCAUGUAUGCGAAAAGGAAUCAGAGCUAGCAGGAUCCAAAGUACCGCGGGACACGAGGAAUCCCGUGGGAAGUCGGGGGGACCACCCUCCAAGCCUAAAUACUACCCAAUGACCGAUAGCGAAAAGUACUGUGAAGGAACGGUGAAAAGAACCCCGGGAGGGGAGUGAAAAGAACCUGAAACUCUAUGCUUACAAGCACAUAGAGCACGUCAAAGUGUGAUAUGGUACCUUUUGUAGAAUGGUCCGGCGAGUUAUUGUAUGCAGCAAGGUUAAGGUCUUCAGGACUGAAGCCGAAGCGAGAGCGAGUCUGACAAGGGCGGUAAGUUGCAUGCAAUAGACCCGAAACCGGGUGACCUAGCCAUGUUCAGGUUGAAGUGGAGGUAAAGCUCCAUGGAGGACCGAACCGACCUCCGUUGAAAAGGCGGCGGAUGAAAUGUGGCUAGCGGAGAAAUUCCAAUCGAACCCGGAAAUAGCUGGUUCUCCCCGAAAUAGCUUUAGGGCUAGCGUUGUAUUAGAUUUCUGGGGGUAAAGCACUGAAUAGGCUAGGGGCCGAGAGGUUACUGAACCUUAUCAAACUAAGAAUACCAGAAAAUUGAUGUACAGCAGUCAGACUAUGUGAGAUAAGUCUCAUAGUCAAAAGGGAAACAGCCCAGACCCACAGCUAAGGUCCCAAAACAGAUUUAAGUGGAAAAGGAUGUGGGAUUGCCCAGACAACCAGGAUGUUGGCUUAGAAGCAGCCACACAUUAAAAGAGUGCGUAAUAGCUCACUGGUCGAGUGAUCCUGCGCCGAAAAUUCAACGGGGCUAAAAUUUGUACCGAAGCUUGGGCUUGAUACAUUCGUAUCAGGGGUAGGGGAGCGUCAUGUAUGAGGUGAAGUCGUAGCGAAAGCGGCGGUGGAUUGUACAUGAGAGAGAAUGCCGGAAUGAGUAGCGAGAAUUAUGUGAGAAUCAUAAUGGCCGAAAAUCUAAGGUUUCCUGAGGAAGGUUCGUCCGCUCAGGGUAAGCCGGGAGCUAAGGUGAGGCGGAAACGCGUAGCCGAUGCACAUACGGUAGAGAUUCCGUAGCCUCCGAAAAGUAAAGCACAGGGACGCUUCAGAAGUGUUACGCCGGGCGAUGGUUGCCCCGGUUGUAAAGGACACAAUUGAGUGGAAGGUAACAUGGAUGGAGACAAGAAAAGCUGUGUGUAUCUGGAAGGAGCCCGUACCGCAAACCGACACAGGUAGAUAGGAAGAAGAUUCUAAGGCCAGCGGGAGAAGGGUUGUUAAGGAACUCGGCAAGUUGACCCCGUAACUUCGGGAGAAGGGGUGCUUACGAAGGUAAGCCGCAGAGAAUAGGCCCAAGCGACUGUUUAGCAAAAACACAGCUCUAUGCUAAAUCGAAAGAUGACGUAUAUGGGGUGACACCUGCCCGGUGCUGGAAGGUUAAGAGGAGAUGUGAGAGCAUCGAAUUGAAGCCCCAGUAAACGGCGGCCGUAACUAUAACGGUCCUAAGGUAGCGAAAUUCCUUGUCAGGUAAGUUCUGACCC